UACGAAGGGGGCAAGCGUUGUUCGGAAUCACUGGGCGUAAAGGGUGCGUAGGUGGUUAUGUAAGUCGGAUGUGAAAACCCUUGGCUUAACCAAGGAUCUGCAUUCGAAACUGCAUAGCUUGAGUACGGGGGAAGAGAGUGGAAUUCUCAGUGUAGCGGUGAAAUGCGUAGAUAUUGAGAAGAACACCUGUGGCGAAAGCGGCUCUCUACCUUGAUACUGACACUGAGGCACGAAAGCUAGGGUAGCAAACGGG
Molecule: ribosomal RNA, 253 nt
Filed under: uncultured bacterium
Lineage: Bacteria
Description: partial 16S ribosomal RNA
Rfam family: Bacterial small subunit ribosomal RNA
Source: RNAcentral